CAGCCAUAAACUAUGCUCGCUAGGUGUCAGGCAUGGCGCGACCGUGUCUGGUGCCGCAGGGAAGCCGUGAAGCGAGCCACCUGGGAAGUACGGCCGCAAGGCUGAAACUUAAAGGAAUUGGCGGGGGAGGCACAACAACGGGUGGAGCCUGCGGUUUAAUUGGAUUCAACACCGUAAACUCACCAGGGAAGACUGUUACAUGAAGGCCGAGAUGAAGACUCUGCUAGAUUUUCAGAGAGGUGGUGCAUGGCGUAGACGUCU
Molecule: ribosomal RNA, 261 nt
Filed under: uncultured archaeon
Lineage: Archaea
Description: partial 16S ribosomal RNA
Rfam family: Archaeal small subunit ribosomal RNA
Source: RNAcentral